UUAGAAUAUAACCCCACAAAAUCAACAAACAAGAGACUAUCACUGUUAUUAUUAGCGAACGCGAGAAAUGAACUCGCUGCCUUCGUAGACGAAGCAUUGGCGGUGGACAUGGCAGUGGAGGAGGAGUGAAAAAGAUGCUGAGGAACGGGAAAGAGCAACGGCGAUUGAAGAGCCAUGAGCGAGAACUCUUGCAGAGAGAGAGAGAAUUCUGAUUUUGGGGUUCAAGAGAGAGAGAGAGGGAGGAACAAGCACGUCAGGGGGAGGAGUGCAAAGACUAUUGUGAGGAGAAAUGGGAAGUUGCAGCCAGAAUCAGUACAUCAAAAAGAUUACAAAAAAAU
RNAcentral lists this unclassified non-coding RNA (338 nucleotides) under Hevea brasiliensis (rubber tree). Lineage: Eukaryota; Viridiplantae; Streptophyta; Magnoliopsida; Malpighiales; Euphorbiaceae. The record is from RNAcentral.